GAUGAACGCUGGCGGCGUGCCUAAUACAUGCAAGUCGAGCGAACGGACGAGAAGCUUGCUUCUCUGAUGUUAGCGGCGGACGGGUGAGUAACACGUGGAUAACCUACCUAUAAGACUGGGAUAACUUCGGGAAACCGGAGCUAAUACCGGAUGAUAUUUUGAACCGCAUGGUUCAAAAGUGAAAGACGGUCUUGCUGUCACUUAUAGAUGGAUCCGCGCUGCAUUAGCUAGUUGGUAAGGUAACGGCUUACCAAGGCAACGAUGCGUAGCCGACCUGAGAGGGUGAUCGGCCACACUGGAACUGAGACACGGUCCAGACUCCUACGGGAGGCAGCAGUAGGGAAUCUUCCGCAAAGGGCGAAAGCCUGACGGAGCAACGCCGCGUGAGUGAUGAAGGUCUUCGGAUCGUAAAACUCUGUUAUUAGGGAAGAACAUAUGUGUAAGUAACUGUGCACAUCUUGACGGUACCUAAUCAGAAAGCCACGGCUAACUACGUG
RNAcentral lists this ribosomal RNA (497 nucleotides) under uncultured bacterium. RNAcentral describes it as "partial 16S ribosomal RNA". It matches the Rfam family "Bacterial small subunit ribosomal RNA", at positions 28 to 507 of the family's 1533-position model. The record is from RNAcentral.